ACUCCUACGGGAGGCAGCAGUGGGGAAUAUUGCACAAUGGGCGCAAGCCUGAUGCAGCCAUGCCGCGUGUAUGAAGAAGGCCUUCGGGUUGUAAAGUACUUUCAGCGGGGAGGAAGGCAAUACGGUUAAUAACCGUGUUGAUUGACGUUACCCGCAGAAGAAGCACCGGCUAACUCCGUGCCAGCAGCCGCGGUAAUACGGAGGGUGCAAGCGUUAAUCGGAAUUACUGGGCGUAAAGCGCACGCAGGCGGUCUGUCAAGUCGGAUGUGAAAUCCCCGGGCUCAACCUGGGAACUGCAUUCGAAACUGGCAGGCUUGAGUCUUGUAGAGGGGGGUAGAAUUCCAGGUGUAGCGGUGAAAUGCGUAGAGAUCUGGAGGAAUACCGGUGGCGAAGGCGGCCCCCUGGACAAAGACUGACGCUCAGGUGCGAAAGCGUGGGGAGCAAACAGGAUUAGAUACCCGUGUAGUCCCA
Molecule: ribosomal RNA, 471 nt
Filed under: uncultured organism
Description: partial 16S ribosomal RNA
Rfam family: Bacterial small subunit ribosomal RNA
Source: RNAcentral